This 241-nucleotide long non-coding RNA is filed under the name Mytilus galloprovincialis (Mediterranean mussel). The record is from RNAcentral. Lineage: Eukaryota; Metazoa; Mollusca; Bivalvia; Mytilida; Mytilidae.
GCGGUCCCUACCAAAUAUUGUCCACUCUUAACGAAAUCUGCAGAAGGGGUCAUGUACUAUAGUUUGGUUGCGAUCUGUCUUUACGUUUACAGUGACUUGACUGUAAGUGCUGCUCUCCAUCAAUUGCAAUUCAUUCAAAAUUUUGACCAACUUGCAAUUUGUUUUAUUUAACCAAAUUGUUCAACUGGUCAGAAUAUUGAACAAAUUGUUCAGUCAAAAUGUGAAAGUGCAAGGUAAUAAA